GAGGAGCAUGCAUCCUUAGAACCCAGGAUUACCUAAUGGGACUUCCUAUCUUCGGAUGCUCCGUGAGGAGCGGGAACCCGCCGAACUGAAACAUCUUAGUAGGCGGAGGAAAAGAAAGCAAUUAUGCGAUACCGUUAGUAAAGUCGAUCGAACACGGUGUAGAACAAACUGAAUCCCACUUAGUGAUUUGUUGGGAGAUGUGGUGUAGUAAGGCUCGGUUUAUGGUCCGGUUUGGUGAAGUUGAAUUGAACUGGAAUGUUCAGCCGUAGAGGGUGAAAGCCCCGUAAAUGUAAACUGAUUUGGAUUGGAUUGAGUUCUUGAGUAGCGUCGAUUGGAAAUUCGGCGUGAAU
This 350-nucleotide ribosomal RNA is filed under the name Methanobacterium veterum. RNAcentral's name for it is "partial 23S ribosomal RNA". It matches the Rfam family "Archaeal large subunit ribosomal RNA", at positions 83 to 435 of the family's 2987-position model. The record is from RNAcentral. Lineage: Archaea; Methanobacteriati; Methanobacteriota; Methanobacteria; Methanobacteriales; Methanobacteriaceae.